AUAUCCCUUGGUCAGCAAGGCUGUGGGGAUAUUGGCAGAAAAAGUGAAAUAAAAUACACUCUGUAGUAGUUCUACUAAUGUAAAUCUGUGUGUUUUGCCAUGACAGUGACUUGUUAUGGGAUGUGCAGAUGAAACUCUGCAUUGACAACAAAGUACAAGGAAUAAGGUUGGUCAGGUGCCUCCUACCAUAGUCAAGGGCAAGACUGGGUUGGCCUCUGUGUUUGCCACCAAGAAGAAUCUUGAGCUCUGCUGUUGGCUGCAACCCAGUAGGCGUUGAGUGGUGGGAACAUAUGCCAUGCCAGACCUUGAUGUGAGGAAUGGCCCACUCUGAGGCACUGAUUUGGAAAUUGGAAACUGCCUGGCCGACCAUGAGGCCAGACGAGUAACAGAGGAGGUAGGAAAGGAGGAAUUAUCCUUAAUACCAGACGAUAAAAUCCAAACUGUAAGUACAGAUCAGGAGCCAAACUAUUCUAAAGAAAACUUAAAGCCCUAUUAUUAAUAAGACGCAUUGGGGAGCUGAUACUUUAUAUAAAAGUCUAAAUCAGAAAUUGAUAGGGCGAAACUUUUAUACUGUAAUAAAACAGGUGACUCAGCAAUGUGAAAUGUCUUUACGCAAUAAUCCCAAUACAGCAAAUAAAAUAAAACUAGGGAACAUUAGUAGAGGAAAUGUUCCAGGGCAACACUGGCAGAUCGAUUUCUCGGAACU
Molecule: long non-coding RNA, 706 nt
Organism: Falco peregrinus (peregrine falcon)
Lineage: Eukaryota; Metazoa; Chordata; Aves; Falconiformes; Falconidae
Exons: 3
Source: RefSeq, a predicted model, not a curated record